GUUCUUGUAGUUGAAUAACAACGGUGGUU
RNAcentral lists this transfer RNA (29 nucleotides) under Salmo salar (Atlantic salmon). RNAcentral describes it as "partial tRNA-Glu". The record is from RNAcentral. Lineage: Eukaryota; Metazoa; Chordata; Actinopteri; Salmoniformes; Salmonidae. RNAcentral also lists the same sequence under 19 other names.